CUGCUGUCAGUGAAGCCAACUAUGUUCUUUUGCUGGUGGGUGCAAAGUGUGCAGUGUCUGCAAAUAGCAACCUUCUCAGCAGUAUAUGCAGCCUAUUAAUUAUAUAGGCUACCUUAUGGGGCCUUGGAGACAUUG
Molecule: small nucleolar RNA, 135 nt
Filed under: Chinchilla lanigera (long-tailed chinchilla)
Lineage: Eukaryota; Metazoa; Chordata; Mammalia; Rodentia; Chinchillidae
Description: Small nucleolar RNA SNORA70 (ENSCLAG00000018561.1)
Rfam family: Small nucleolar RNA SNORA70
About the family: snoRNA U70 seems to be exclusive to mammals and is a member of the H/ACA class of snoRNA which contain H (ANANNA) and ACA box motifs. H/ACA box snoRNAs are involved in the conversion of uridines to pseudouridines (5-ribosyluracil) a constituent of structural RNAs (transfer, ribosomal, small nuclear, and small nucleolar).
Source: Rfam by way of RNAcentral